UACGGAGGGUGCAAGCGUUAAUCGGAAUUACUGGGCGUAAAGCGUGCGUAGGCGGCUCGUUAAGUCAGAUGUGAAAGCCCUGGGCUCAACCUGGGAACUGCAUUUGAAACUGGCGAGCUAGAGUUUGAGAGAGGUAAGUGGAAUUUCAGGUGUAGCGGUGAAAUGCGUAGAGAUCUGAAGGAACACCAGUGGCGAAGGCGACUUACUGGCUUAAAACUGACGCUGAGGUACGAAAGCGUGGGUAGCAAACAGGAUUAGAUACCCUGGUAGUCCACGCCGUAAACGAUGUCGACUAGCCGUUGGUCCUAUUUACAGGAUUAGUGGCGCAGCUAACGCAUUAAGUCGACCGCCUGGGGAGUACGGCCGCAAGGUUA
Molecule: ribosomal RNA, 374 nt
Filed under: uncultured prokaryote
Description: bacterial SSU rRNA
Rfam family: Bacterial small subunit ribosomal RNA
Source: RNAcentral